ACAAACAGCAAAUGAGUGAAGGCUGUUUACUAUCAAGCCAGUUUUAAUUCAGGAGCAUAGUGGAAAAGUACAGAGUGUAGAAAAAUUGGAUUGAGGAAGGUGAUCCUAGAGAGUAGACAACAUACAGAAGCUGGCAUGACAAGACUGGAAGGGACACUUUGCUGUGAAUAUCUAUAGUUGGUGGCUCAUCGAAACUCUCACAAAGUGUACCAAAAAGUCAAGUACUUUUGUGAUAAAGAAGUUACUGGAGAGUUUUUCAGCCCACAAGAACUGUCAGCAACAGCUUCUUUUGUGAAGGAUUCUCUAGUUGAAAGAGCUGUGCAGAAUGGACGGAGCAGGACAGGAUGAGUAAAGAAGAGAAAUGUGGCAGAAAGAUGUAAAGAAGAGAAAUAUGGACAUGGCUUGGAUUUUGCUGAUUUUGUUCGAUUUUUUAAUUUGAUUAAUAAAGCACAAUAUAUGACUGUAAUUUCUUGUUUGUUGUUGAUAAACAGAUUUUACAAUAUUUCUGUUGGCACGUCUUUAGAUGUAACUCAGAACCUGUCUUUGUAGAAUU
This is a long non-coding RNA of Lingula anatina, 553 nucleotides long. The record is from RefSeq and is a predicted model, not a curated record. Lineage: Eukaryota; Metazoa; Brachiopoda; Lingulata; Lingulida; Lingulidae.